This is a long non-coding RNA of Canis lupus familiaris (dog), 868 nucleotides long. RefSeq lists it as uncharacterized. The record is from RefSeq and is a predicted model, not a curated record. NCBI's taxonomy places the organism in Eukaryota, Metazoa, Chordata, Mammalia, Carnivora, Canidae. The transcript is spliced from 3 exons.
AGCCGGGGCCAGGGCGCUGGGUCGCGGUCCUUGUCGUCGGAUCCCCCGGCCACACAGUUUCACUCAAAUGCAGCCGCGGCCUGGGAGCGUCGUGUUGAUAGAACUGCACCGGCUUCCUCCUCAGACAUGCUGACUAACUCGGGGCCUUGCGGUCUGCGACCACGGGGCAGAACAAGGCAAUCGAUGCACAAAUACAGAUUGAAAAGGCUCAUUUCGAUCCUGCCUGUGUUGUCGCAGUGUCGUGUCGGCCUAUUGUGUGUUCAAACGAUUACGCACACCUACCUCGGAGCUUAAACAUGAAGGCACUUUAUGCAAGAAGGUAUAAAAUAGGCCUUGAUGAAGGAAGAACAAAAAAAUAUUAAAUUACGGCUCUGGAAUAAGUUGUCUGAAACCCGGCACUUUGCGAUUGGCUCAUGUAUUUUAGAAGCCAGACACACACAGACACCCAUAAAGCUCUUUUAUUCUUUUCUUGUGUAUAUUUAAAAGCCGCAAGGCCGUGCUUCUGUGCCCCUCCAGCACCCUGACUGCGAUAGGCCAGUAAUUUGGGAGCCAGGUCAACACGUGGGCUUGUACUGUAAUGAGAAAUACAGCUCGGUUUCAUGGGAAAAUUAAGCUGAUGUUUUCAGAGAAAGCUAUUUGUAUUUUUCAUAACUAGGAAACGUCAAAUUAAAUCGUUUAAAAAUAGCCAUUUGUGAUCCUGAGUCAAGAAUACAUAUAACAUACAUUACACACACACACAAUUGGAUUGGUUACAGAUGUGUAAUCAAUUGUUUCGUAAAACAUUUGCUGGAAUCUCAUUAUGUCAAGACCCAACGAAGAUGCUAAAGACAAAGAUCCCUCCAUUUAGAAUUCAUCUUCAAAAGGGGCA